This 1004-nucleotide long non-coding RNA is filed under the name Zonotrichia albicollis (white-throated sparrow). Its description in RNAcentral is "lncRNA (ENSZALG00000000592.1)". The record is from RNAcentral. Lineage: Eukaryota; Metazoa; Chordata; Aves; Passeriformes; Passerellidae.
CCCGGCAGUUCCCGCUUUGUUCCCGCCUCGCCUCCACCCGGCAGUUGCCUGGCAACUCCAUCCAUGCGGCUGCCGGAGAGCAGCAAAACACGGCCCCACAUCCAUAUCCCCAUCCCCGGCUGGAUGAGGGGCUGUGAGGAUGGCACAGCACGGCACGGCACGGCCCGGCACGUCCCUCCUCCAGUGGUCAGAUCCCCCACAGCCCAUCCAGCACCCCCAAAAAAUCCCACUCUGCUGAGCUCCUCCAUCCCCUUUCCCCGCUGCAUCCAGACGAGGGUUCUCAAUGUGGGUGUAAAUGGUGCUGCUGGCCAGGUUCAGCCACGCAGAGAGGGGCUGCUGCUGACAGCAGGAGGGGAAACUGAGGCACAGAGAGACCCUGAGACACUGGUGGCAAUGGGGAUGCACUGGACCACCAAGCAGGAGGGACCUGGAGCACUGUGCCAUGCUGAGGGCAAUGCUCCCCCUGGGAAAGGUGCUCCAGAUCCAGCCUGUCCCAUCCCCUCUCCCCGUGUCGGCAGGGAUGGGGGCACUGCUGGCGCAGAGCGAACUAUUGGCUUAAUUAAUUUGCUGUUAUUUCUCCUAACGAGCUGGGAUCUGGAGCGGGCGCUUCCCUGGCUUGGCAGCCAGCGCAUUCCCCCGCCCCGGCAGCGAGCCGGGGGUGCGAAGCCUCCAGGCACUGCUCAAAACAGACCGUGUGUAGGAGGGAAAAAUUACACCCCGGGAAAAAUCCCUCCCCAAGCCAGCGCUUUAACCCACUUCCCAGCUGCAGCGCUGCGAGAAGGGACUCGGGCAUUUGGGGAAGGGGAGAAGCACCACGAGACUGGGGCAGCUCCUCCAUGAGGUCCCUGUGGAGGGCUGAGCCAAAUCCUGGACUAUGCUCAGACCUGAUCCUGCUGCCAGGGAGGGAAACUGAGCCAGUGGCACUGGGGAGGGAUGGGGUAGUAAAGCAAUGUGGGCAGAAAUUGGGGAGACCUGAAGGGAAGGGGGGAAAAGGGAGUGGGAUG